This is a non-coding RNA of Schizosaccharomyces pombe (fission yeast), 588 nucleotides long. NCBI's taxonomy places the organism in Eukaryota, Fungi, Ascomycota, Schizosaccharomycetes, Schizosaccharomycetales, Schizosaccharomycetaceae. The record is from the annotation of a GenBank genome assembly.
AUAGUGGUAAUAGCAUUUGUCACUAUAGAUAAGUCGAAGGUAUCACUCCGAUAAACAGCAGCUACAUAAACGUACUUCGAAAAGAUGUAAAAAGAGCUUAUUCACAAUAUCUCUUACUACUUACAAUGCAAUGUAGAAACACGUGCGUCCAUUAAUUUAUUGAAUAUUUAAAAAAUCAUUACGUUUUUCAACUUUAAAGCAACAGUAGAAAUGAAUUUUUCAUUACUUAAAUCACCAAAUCUAUUAUCCUUUUUCAUACGGUUCUUUUAUCGUCGUCCACGUGUAGGUAAAGGAACACUUCUGCCAGGGCCAACUUUGAACAUAGGAGCAUUCCUUGUUUAAAAACGUUAAAAUUAUGAUUAAACCAACCACUUAAAAAUUCUUACCUAAGCAUAUCAGGAACGAUGAGAAAACGAAUGUGUGAACCACGAAUGUAAACUUGAUCCAAAUGAGAAACACGACCAUCUCGAGCAGUUACACUGAUAUCUCUCAUUUGACAAUUCAUAUUAUCUUCCGCUAAUUAGUGUAAGUAAACCAUAACAAAAUAGAAAUCGUUUUAAAAUGAAUAUACCUUCAAUUAACUUUCCA